Molecule: small nuclear RNA, 103 nt
Filed under: Helianthus annuus (common sunflower)
Lineage: Eukaryota; Viridiplantae; Streptophyta; Magnoliopsida; Asterales; Asteraceae
Source: RNAcentral
GUCCCUUCGGGGACAUCCGAUAAAAUUGGAACGAUACGGAGAAGAUUAGCAUGACCCUGCGCAAGAUGACACGCACAAAAGUGGUGAGAGUUUAAACUUUAUU